This is a small nucleolar RNA of Carya illinoinensis, 107 nucleotides long. The record is from RefSeq and is a predicted model, not a curated record. Lineage: Eukaryota; Viridiplantae; Streptophyta; Magnoliopsida; Fagales; Juglandaceae.
AUGCCGUGUUAAUGGCAACGUCGAAUAAAAUCUCUAUACCUUUCCCAUUCUUCAUAGAGUGAUUCGAAAUCAUUUUGCUUGAAUUGACCAAUCUCACUCCUGAGUUG